UGGCCCACCAGGGCAUAUAUUGGAACACGGGCCUCGACUGUUUACCAAAAACAUAGCCCUCGGCCAAUAUGAAAAUAGAAGUAUGGAGGGUGAGGCCUGCCCAAUGGUUGUAUCUAAAAGCGGUGGAUAAAAGUCGACCGCGUAAGGACAAUUGAAUGGCCGCGGUACUACUGACCGUGAUAAUGUAGCGUAAUCAAUAGCCAAUUAAUUGUUGGCCAGUAUGAAUGGCGCCACGAAGGCCCCACUGUCUUAAGGAAAUUCCCAGUGAAAUUGAAUUCGUAGUGAAGAUGCUACGUCCAAUUUGUUAGACGAAAAGACCCCGUUGAGCUUUACUGGGGCACUUACACGGCCGAAUUGAAAUGGGCGGCUUAGACUAUGUGGCAGCCCCCCGUCGGGGCAGAUGAAACCCCACUCCCCCAUGUCAAAGGGGCUAACCCCCCCUCGGGGGGGGACAGUGUAAGUAGGACAGUUUGGUUGGGGCGACCGCCUUUUAGAGAGUAACGAAGGUGCGCUUAAGGUGCGCAAUUAAUGACUGAAGCCUGACUGCGAGGGGGACACCCCGAGCAGACACCCCCCAGCCCGCGAGGGCGGGGGUGGGCCAUAGUGACCCGUUAAUUUAGAGUGGAAUAGUUAACGAUCAACG
This 643-nucleotide ribosomal RNA is filed under the name Savalia sp. 1 HK-2019. RNAcentral's name for it is "partial large subunit ribosomal RNA". It matches the Rfam family "Bacterial large subunit ribosomal RNA", at positions 1764 to 2454 of the family's 2925-position model. The record is from RNAcentral. Lineage: Eukaryota; Metazoa; Cnidaria; Anthozoa; Zoantharia; Parazoanthidae.